AUGCACGCUGGCGGCGUGCCUCAUCCCUGCAAGUCGCGCGAACAGACGAGGAGCUUGCUCCUCUGACGUUAGCGGCGGACGGGUGAGUAACACGUGGAUAACCUACCUAUAAGACUGGGAUAACUUCGGGAAACCGGAGCUAAUACCGGAUAAUAUAUUGAACCGCAUGGUUCAAUAGUGAAAGACGGUUUUGCUGUCACUUAUAGAUGGAUCCGCGCCGCAUUAGCUAGUUGGUAAGGUAACGGCUUACCAAGGCAACGAUGCGUAGCCGACCUGAGAGGGUGAUCGGCCACACUGGAACUGAGACACGGUCCAGACUCCUACGGGAGGCAGCAGUAGGGAAUCUUCCGCAAUGGGCGAAAGCUUGACGGAGCAACGCCGCGUGAGUGAUGAAGGUCUUCGGAUCGUAAAACUCUGUUAUUAGGGAAGAACAAAUGUGUAAGUAACUAUGCACGUCUUGACGGUACCUAAUCAGAAAGCCACGGCUAACUACGU
Molecule: ribosomal RNA, 495 nt
Filed under: uncultured bacterium
Lineage: Bacteria
Description: partial 16S ribosomal RNA
Rfam family: Bacterial small subunit ribosomal RNA
Source: RNAcentral